GCGGGUGUAGUUCAAUGGUAGAACUCCAGCCUUCCAAGCUGGUCACGUGGGUUCGAUUCCCAUCACCCGCUCCA
RNAcentral lists this transfer RNA (74 nucleotides) under Ruminococcus sp. RNAcentral describes it as "tRNA-Gly". It matches the Rfam family "tRNA". From Rfam's summary of the family: Transfer RNA (tRNA) molecules are approximately 80 nucleotides in length. Their secondary structure includes four short double-helical elements and three loops (D, anti-codon, and T loops). The record is from RNAcentral. Lineage: Bacteria; Bacillati; Bacillota; Clostridia; Eubacteriales; Oscillospiraceae. RNAcentral also lists the same sequence under 14 other names.